GUACUUCUGAAGGGUCCCAAACUAGGACGAAACAGCUGUCCAGUAC
Molecule: non-coding RNA, 46 nt
Organism: Trichobilharzia regenti
Lineage: Eukaryota; Metazoa; Platyhelminthes; Trematoda; Strigeidida; Schistosomatidae
Source: Rfam